GGGCGUAAGCGAGCGCAGGCGGUUUCUUAAGUCUGAUGUGAAAGCCCCCGGCUCAACCGGGGAGGGUCAUUGGAAACUGGGAGACUUGAGUGCAGAAGAGGAGAGUGGAAUUCCAUGUGUAGCGGUGAAAUGCGUAGAUAUAUGGAGGAACACCAGUGGCGAAGGCGGCUCUCUGGUCUGUAACUGACGCUGAGGCUCGAAAGCGUGGGGAGCAAACAGGAUUAGAUA
This 228-nucleotide ribosomal RNA is filed under the name Enterococcus sp. Its description in RNAcentral is "partial 16S ribosomal RNA". It matches the Rfam family "Bacterial small subunit ribosomal RNA", at positions 556 to 784 of the family's 1533-position model. The record is from RNAcentral. Lineage: Bacteria; Bacillati; Bacillota; Bacilli; Lactobacillales; Enterococcaceae.